Molecule: long non-coding RNA, 391 nt
Organism: Dicentrarchus labrax (European seabass)
Lineage: Eukaryota; Metazoa; Chordata; Actinopteri; Moronidae
Exons: 3
Source: RefSeq, a predicted model, not a curated record
UUGUGUGAUUCAAGGCUAGAUUUUCUUACUUUGUAAUCCAUGUUGAGAUCCGGUACGUUCUCCAUGGAUGUAACUAGUCAGUUGUUCUCGCGGUGAAGGUCUGUGUAGAUCUGUUCACUGUGAUCUCUGGAGCUCAGUGAAAUGGACUGUACAACAGAAUUCAUCCUAAAGUUCUAGAAUGACACAUCAAAGGAACGGAACUCAUCAAAGGAAUAGAACUCAUCAAAGGAAUAGAACUCAUCAAAGUUGGAUGUUUGAGCUUCUCUGCACAGAAUACUGCCCCCAGUGCACACACACUGAGAAUGGCAGGAAAACAGUUUCCCUCUCAAACAUGUCCAGCUGUGAAGAUGAUGAUGAUGAUGAUGAGGAUGCCGUAGCUCAGCGUCGCAGG